RNAcentral lists this unclassified non-coding RNA (201 nucleotides) under plant metagenome. RNAcentral's name for it is "partial contains small subunit ribosomal RNA, internal transcribed spacer 1, and 5.8S ribosomal RNA". The record is from RNAcentral.
UCUCCGUUGGUGAACCAGCGGAGGGAUCAUUAUCGAGUUUAUAACUCCCAAACCCUAUGUGAACUUACCACUUGUUGCUUCGGCGCGCGCUUCGGUGCCGCCGAGGACACUUAAACUCUUUGUUUUCAUAAGCAUUUCUGAGUGGCCGAAGGGCAAAAUACAAAUGAAUCAAAACUUUCAACAACGGAUCUCUUGGUUCUG